ACCCGCACAAGCGGUGGAUGAUGUGGAUUAAUUCGAUGCAACGCGAAAACCUUACCUACCCUUGACAUGUCCGGAAUCCCGAAGAGAUUUGGGAGUGCUCGCAAGAGAGCCGGAACACAGGUGCUGCAUGGCUGUCGUCAGCUCGUGUCGUGAGAUGUUGGGUUAAGUCCCGCAACGAGCGCAACCCUUGUCAUUAGUUGCCAUCAUUUGGUUGGGCACUCUAAUGAGACUGCCGGUGACAAACCGGAGGAAGGUGGGGAUGACGUCAAGUCCUCAUGGCCCUUAUGGGUAGGGCUUCACACGUCAUACAAUGGUCGGUACAGAGGGUUGCCAACCCGCGAGGGGGAGCUAAUCGCAAAAAGGUGGGCCCAGUUCGGAUUGGGGUCUGCAACCCGACCCCAUGAAGCCGGAAUCGCUAGUAAUCGCGGAUCAGCCAUGCCGCGGUGAAUACGUUCCCGGGCCUU
Molecule: ribosomal RNA, 464 nt
Filed under: uncultured Propionivibrio sp.
Lineage: Bacteria; Pseudomonadati; Pseudomonadota; Betaproteobacteria; Rhodocyclales; Rhodocyclaceae
Description: bacterial SSU rRNA
Rfam family: Bacterial small subunit ribosomal RNA
Source: RNAcentral